AUACCAUUUACAUGCAAGCUCUAAUAUUAAAUUAUAGUACAUCAAUACAAUAUAUACAAAGAGUUGCUGGGUCUUCCUGCUCACAAGAUUUUGAAGAACCUGCUAUUCACUCCUGCCCUGUACAGAUGCAGCUCAGAUGCAGUUGUUAUGCUAAUGUCAAUGUUGGCAGGUGCAAACAGGACAUCUCCUUCAGUAACAAGCUCUUUGGAUGAUCCUGUAUGCAUUUUUCCCUCCCCAGCUGUGAUCACAAAUAUUGAAGGACCUGGGACUGCAGGGAACAUUGUUGAUGCCCCUCUAGGAAGAACACAGCUAUCAACCUCAAAUUCAUCAAAAGGUGGGAGGUAUCUUUUUAUAUACGGACUCAGAGGUAAUCCUUUCAGGAUUUCAGGGAAGCCCUGUUUGUAUGUGAGCAUGGAACAGAGUGUUUGGACAUCCCGAUGCUUGGGAGUAAGGCCAGCCC
Molecule: unclassified non-coding RNA, 460 nt
Filed under: Hevea brasiliensis (rubber tree)
Lineage: Eukaryota; Viridiplantae; Streptophyta; Magnoliopsida; Malpighiales; Euphorbiaceae
Source: RNAcentral